CCUGGCGGCGAGCGGCGAACGGGUGAGUAAUAGAUAGGAACGUAUCCGGGAGUGGGGGAUAACUAGCCGAAAGGUUAGCUAAUACCGCAUAUUCUCUCAGGAGGAAAGCGGGGGACCAGUAAUGGCCUCGCGCUCGCGGAGUGGCCUAUCUCCGAUUAGCUAGUUGGUGAGGUAAAGGCUCACCAAGGCGACGAUCGGUAGCUGGUCUGAGAGGAUGAUCAGCCACACUGGGACUGAGACACGGCCCAGACUCCUACGGGAGGCAGCAGUGGGGAAUUUUGGACAAUGGGGGCAACCCUGAUCCAGCCAUGCCGCGUGCGGGAAGAAGGCCUUCGGGUUGUAAACCGCUUUUAUUCGGGAAGAAGGAGUAGGGGCUAAUACCCUCUAUGACGGACGGUACUGGAUGAAUAAGCACCGGCUAACUACGUGCCAGCAGCCGCGGUAAUACGUAGGGUGCGAGCGUUAAUCGGAAUUACUGGGCGUAAAGCGUGCGCAGGCGGUUCGAGAAGUCAGCUGUGAAAGCCCCGGGCUUAACCU
RNAcentral lists this ribosomal RNA (537 nucleotides) under uncultured beta proteobacterium. RNAcentral's name for it is "bacterial SSU rRNA". It matches the Rfam family "Bacterial small subunit ribosomal RNA", at positions 84 to 615 of the family's 1533-position model. The record is from RNAcentral. Lineage: Bacteria; Pseudomonadati; Pseudomonadota; Betaproteobacteria.